RNAcentral lists this ribosomal RNA (254 nucleotides) under uncultured bacterium. Its description in RNAcentral is "partial 16S ribosomal RNA". It matches the Rfam family "Archaeal small subunit ribosomal RNA", at positions 474 to 727 of the family's 1478-position model. The record is from RNAcentral.
UCCCAGCAGUCCAAGUCGCAGCCACAAUUAUUGGGUCUAAAAUAUCCGUAGCUUGCUUUAUAAGUCUCUUGUGAAAUCUGGCCUCUUAAGGGUCGGGCGUGCAAGAGAUACUAUUUAGCUAGAGACCGGGAGACGUAAGAAGUACGAAUGGGGUAGCGGUAAAAUGUGUUGAUCCUAUUUGGACUAACAAUAGCGAAGGCAUCUUACGAGAACGGAUCUGACAGUGAGGGAUGAAGGCUAGGGGCGCAAAGUGG